UCACAUGCUCCAUCAGCCCUUUGGACUGCUCUCUCCUCAUGCCUCCCCUUCAAUCACUCACCAUAUUAAUAACACCUGAAUACGAAAAAACAUUUAUGAAUUAUACAGGCAUGCAAAAUAUUGUAUACUGUGAAGCAUAGCAAUGCCACUAAGUAAGAUGGGCACUCUCAUAUUUAAAAACAGAAAAUAUAAUAAACUAUGUAUUAAAGAGAUAUGGUCUAGAAUGGUCUAAUAUAAACCCAUAUAUUUUCUGUAAAAAGUUUCCUUUUUGUGAACUAUAUUGUCUUUAAAAGAUAGGUCAAAUUGUUAAAAACUGACAUGUAAACAACAAACACAAACUAUAGCCAGUUAGCAAAGCCCUAUUUUUUUGCAAGGCCAACAUCACGACAACCAUCACUCAUGGCCUGCCUUGGAGGCACGACGUGAAGGUUACCAAAGGUUAGCGCUACUACAGGUGUUUCUAUUCACAUCAUCAAUAGUUCAUGUAUGCACCUAUUAGGUAAUUCCAAGUUUUCAUUCAGAUUUAUCCUCUUCAAAGGAUAUGGGGUACACGGUAGCUGGACGGGGAGCUGCAGCCUAAGACAACCUGAAUCAGCAAAUAUAGAAACUACCCUGUAGUUCUAAAGAUCUGAAAUACAACUGCAUGGACAAAGUUUUGCUGCGAAAGAAUCGUACGUGUAUAUACAGUAACGUGUUGUUGAUUCCAUAGAGAAUUUACCAUCAGCUAAGUUGGUCCUUUCGUUGUGCAUGAACUCAUACACAAGUAUGUUCUUCCUGUCUUGCUGACUGUAACCAGUGAAUGUUACCAGGUUCCAAUGACUUAUUCCAGAAAGCAAUGCUACCUAAAACAAGUAGACCUUCACAGCAGACUACUCCCUUUGUCCCAAAAUAAGUUUCUCAACUCUAGUACAACUUUGUAACAGAGUUGAGACACUUAUUUUAGGACGGAGGGCGCACAUGUAAGCCAGCCAACUCAUCAGGACAACAUCAGUAAGAAAAGAAAUGCAUGAGCAUAUGGUACAUUGUCAUGCAAUGAUGCAAUCAUAGCAUGAUAUGGAUGUUCAGUAGACCAUUACAACAGACCACAAGAGGGGAUGUGCAGAUACAGAAUGCAAAGGAAAUUUCAAAAGGCAGGAACUGAAAUUGCAGAAACAUAAAAGAAGGAUUACUACUAAUCUAAGAUAGUGAGGAAAC
This 1194-nucleotide long non-coding RNA is filed under the name Triticum aestivum (bread wheat). RNAcentral describes it as "long non-coding RNA (TAES_LNC001141)". The record is from RNAcentral. Lineage: Eukaryota; Viridiplantae; Streptophyta; Magnoliopsida; Poales; Poaceae.